GCACAGCCGGGUGGCGGAGGGGAGUAUGAAGUGCAGGAGGGGUUUGGCUGGACCAACGGAGUGGCCCUGAUGCUCCUGGACCGCUAUGGUGACCGGCUGAGCUCGGGGACCCAGCUGGCGCUCCUGGAGCCCCACUGCCUGGCCGCUGCCCUCCUGCUCAGCUUCCUAACACGGUGACCACAGGGCGGCCUCCCUGCACCUCUGUUCAUUAAACCUCUCACCGGCCCCGC
Molecule: non-coding RNA, 230 nt
Organism: Oryctolagus cuniculus (rabbit)
Lineage: Eukaryota; Metazoa; Chordata; Mammalia; Lagomorpha; Leporidae
Source: RefSeq, a predicted model, not a curated record